CUACGGGGCGCUGCAGUAGGGAAUAUUGGACAAUGGGCGAAAGCCUGAUCCAGCAACGCCGCGUGUGCGAUGACGGCCUUCGGGUUGUAAAGCACUUUUAGAGGAGAUGAGAAAGGACAGUAUCCUCAGAAUAAGCCUCGGCGAACUACGUGCCAGCAGCCGCGGUAAAACGUAGGAGGCAAGCGUUAUCCGGAUUUAUUGGGCGUAAAGCGCGUGCAGGCGGUCUAGCAAGUUAGAUGUGAAAGCUCCCGGCUUAACCGGGAGAGGUCGUUCAAUACUGUUAGACUAGAGAAUGGGAGAGGGAGGUGGAAUUCUGGGUGUAGUGGUGAAAUGCGUAGAUAUCCAGAGGAACACCAGUGGCGAAAGCGGCCUCCUGGACCAUUUCUGACGCUAAGACGCGAAAGCUAGGGUAGCAAACGGGAUUAGAUACCCCAGUAGUC
RNAcentral lists this ribosomal RNA (440 nucleotides) under uncultured bacterium. RNAcentral's name for it is "partial 16S ribosomal RNA". It matches the Rfam family "Bacterial small subunit ribosomal RNA", at positions 339 to 795 of the family's 1533-position model. The record is from RNAcentral.